GUGCUUGUGGUGUAGUGGCUAUCACAUCCGCCUAACACGCGGAAGGUCCCAGGUUCAAACCCUGGCAGGCACA
Molecule: transfer RNA, 73 nt
Filed under: Limulus polyphemus (Atlantic horseshoe crab)
Lineage: Eukaryota; Metazoa; Arthropoda; Merostomata; Xiphosura; Limulidae
Description: tRNA-Val
Rfam family: tRNA
About the family: Transfer RNA (tRNA) molecules are approximately 80 nucleotides in length. Their secondary structure includes four short double-helical elements and three loops (D, anti-codon, and T loops). Further hydrogen bonds mediate the characteristic L-shaped molecular structure. tRNAs have two regions of fundamental functional importance: the anti-codon, which is responsible for specific mRNA codon recognition, and the 3' end, to which the tRNAs corresponding amino acid is attached (by aminoacyl-tRNA synthetases). tRNAs cope with the degeneracy of the genetic code in two manners: having more than one tRNA (with a specific anti-codon) for a particular amino acid; and 'wobble' base-pairing, i.e. permitting non-standard base-pairing at the 3rd anti-codon position.
Source: RNAcentral